Syzygium oleosum is the source of this 678-nucleotide long non-coding RNA. RefSeq lists it as uncharacterized. The record is from RefSeq and is a predicted model, not a curated record. NCBI's taxonomy places the organism in Eukaryota, Viridiplantae, Streptophyta, Magnoliopsida, Myrtales, Myrtaceae. The transcript has 2 exons.
CCGAUCGGUCUUUGCGUUGUUAUCGUUCUGAAUUUUUCGGUUAUUCGGUGACUUGGCAUUUUGUGACCUGCUUCUGGACUUCGUUGUUUGGGGAAGUCGCGGUGGAUUCUUUUCGCUUGGAGCGAACAGCUUGUCCGAGGAUGUUAUCUAAGGGCGAUGAAUGGCGACACAGGUCAGUUUGUUUCAUAAAACGAAGCGUUUGGGCUUUUUGGAGGACUGAGGAUCUGUUUUGCUGUCUUUUGUUGGUAGAGAUGAUGAACUCACAUCUUAGACCGGCGAUGGACUAAAUUUUGAUAACCUUCUGGGUAUUUAUCGGUUUUGAUUGAAAUUUGUUCUCCGGCUUUUUAUCUUUGGGAUAUGAUCAUGGUCUAGUUCCAAUUCUUUUACAUGUCGCGAUCUUGCCGGGCUUGAGAAGUGGUGAUCUGUUGAGUUAUCUUUGUGAUGUCGAGUUGAUGAUCCCUGACAAUCAGGUAAGCUCCGCUUUUCGAGGCAGUUAAUGGUUUGAAUGGAGUUUGUGUAAGUCUUGUUAUUUUCCGAUUGAUGCGAGAACCAAUUCUCUUUCUUGCCGAGGUCAGAGUUUGGUCGAUGUAGGAACUGUCCUGGUUCUUUCCAUGCCACGUGUACGCUCACUUCAGAUCAUUGCUAUUGAAAAUCUAAAGCCCGUGUCCUUCCUAGAAA